Molecule: transfer RNA, 72 nt
Filed under: Ascodesmis nigricans
Lineage: Eukaryota; Fungi; Ascomycota; Pezizomycetes; Pezizales; Ascodesmidaceae
Rfam family: tRNA
About the family: Transfer RNA (tRNA) molecules are approximately 80 nucleotides in length. Their secondary structure includes four short double-helical elements and three loops (D, anti-codon, and T loops).
Source: Rfam by way of RNAcentral
GCCCUGCUAGCGCAAUGGUAGCGCGUUGGACUUCUAAUCCAAAGGUUGCCGGUUCGAGUCCGGCGUGGGGCU